RNAcentral lists this small nuclear RNA (279 nucleotides) under Erinaceus europaeus (western European hedgehog). Its description in RNAcentral is "7SK RNA". It matches the Rfam family "7SK RNA", at positions 1 to 292 of the family's 331-position model. Rfam says of the family: 7SK was discovered as an abundant small nuclear RNA in the mid-70s but a possible function has only recently been suggested. Two independent studies have found that 7SK RNA binds the CDK9/cyclin T complex (known as elongation factor P-TEFb). The record is from Rfam by way of RNAcentral. Lineage: Eukaryota; Metazoa; Chordata; Mammalia; Eulipotyphla; Erinaceidae.
GGAUGUGAGGGCGAUCUGGCUGCGACAUCUGUCACCCCAUUGAUCGCCAGGGUUGAUUCGGCUGAUCUGGCUGGCUAGGCGGGUGUCCCCUUCCUCCCUCACCGCUCCAAGUGCGUCCCUCCGGAAGCUGCGCGCUCGGUCGAAGAGGACGGCCUUCCCCGAAUAGAGACCGGUCUUCGGUCGAGGGUAUACGAGUAGCUGCGCUCCCCUGCUAGAACCUCCAAACAAGAUUUUACUUGUUGAGGAACCUCAGAGUGAACUCACAAGACAGGAGUCCCU